CGCCUUGCCAGCCCGCUCAGAAACUUAAAGGAAGUUGACGGGGGCCCGCACAAGCGGAGGAACAUGUGGUUUAAUUCGAUGAUACGCGAGGAACCUUACCUGGGCUAGAACGCAAUCGGAAUCAGGCCGAAAGGUCUGCGCCAGCGAUGGCCGCUUGCGAGGUGCUGCAUGGUUGUCGUCAGCUCGUGCCGUGAGGGUGUCGGGUUAAGUCCCCAUAACGAGCGCAACCCCUACUGCUAGUUGCCAGCGGGUCAUGCCGGGGACUCUAGCGGAACUGCCAGCGUAAGCUGCGAGGAAGGUGGGGAUGACGUCAAAUCAGCACGGCCCUUACGUCCAGGGCUACACACGUGUUACAAUGGCCAGUACAGAGGGCAGCCACCCCGCGAGGGGGCGCUAAUCCUAAAAGCUGGUCCCAGUUCGGAUCGGAGUCUGCAACCCGACUCCGUGAAGCUGGAUUCGCUAGUAAUCGCGCAUCAGCCACGGCGCGGUGAAUACGUUCCCGGGCCUU
RNAcentral lists this ribosomal RNA (508 nucleotides) under uncultured Rikenellaceae bacterium. RNAcentral's name for it is "bacterial SSU rRNA". It matches the Rfam family "Bacterial small subunit ribosomal RNA", at positions 903 to 1382 of the family's 1533-position model. Lineage: Bacteria; Pseudomonadati; Bacteroidota; Bacteroidia; Bacteroidales; Rikenellaceae. The record is from RNAcentral.